UACGGAGGGUGCGAGCGUUGUCCGGAAUCACUGGGCGUAAAGGGCGCGUAGGUGGCCGAGCAAGGUCGCGGUGAAAGCCCGGGGCUCAACCCCGGGUCGGCCGUGGCAACUACUGGGCUGGAGCACUGUAGGGGCGGGUGGAAUUCCGGGUGUAGCGGUGGAAUGCGUAGAGAUCCGGAAGAACACCGGUGGCGAAGGCGGCCGACUGGGCCGACCCUGACGCUGAGGCGCGAAGGCGUGGGGAGCGAACGGG
This 253-nucleotide ribosomal RNA is filed under the name uncultured bacterium. Its description in RNAcentral is "partial 16S ribosomal RNA". It matches the Rfam family "Bacterial small subunit ribosomal RNA", at positions 524 to 776 of the family's 1533-position model. The record is from RNAcentral.